Molecule: transfer RNA, 83 nt
Filed under: Canis lupus familiaris (dog)
Lineage: Eukaryota; Metazoa; Chordata; Mammalia; Carnivora; Canidae
Rfam family: tRNA
About the family: Transfer RNA (tRNA) molecules are approximately 80 nucleotides in length.
Source: Rfam by way of RNAcentral
GCCUGGGUGGCUCAGCGGUUGAGCAUCUGGCUUUGGCUCAGGGCAUAAUCCUGGAGUCCUGGGAUCAAGUCCCACAUCAGGCU